GAUGAACGCUGGCGGCGUGCCUAAUACAUGCAAGUCGAGCGAACGGACGAGAAGCUUGCUUCUCUGAUGUUAGCGGCGGACGGGUGAGUAACACGUGGAUAACCUACCUAUAAGACUGGGAUAACUUCGGGAAACCGGAUCUAAUACCGGAUGAUAUUUUGAACCGCAUGGUUCAAAAGUGAAAGACGGUCUUGCUGUCACUUAUAGAUGGAUCCGCGCUGCAUUAGCUAGUUGGUAAGGUAACGGCUUACCAAGGCAACGAUGCAUAGCCGACCUGAGAGGGUGAUCGGCCACACUGGAACUGAGACACGGUCCAGACUCCUACGGGAGGCAGCAGUAGGGAAUCUUCCGCAAUGGGCGAAAGCCUGACGGAGCAACGCCGCGUGAGUGAUGAAGGUCUUCGGAUCGUAAAACUCUGUUAUUAGGGAAGAACAUAUGUGUAAGUAACUGUGCACAUCUUGACGUUACCUAAUCAGAAAGCCACGGCUAACUACGUG
Molecule: ribosomal RNA, 497 nt
Filed under: uncultured bacterium
Lineage: Bacteria
Description: partial 16S ribosomal RNA
Rfam family: Bacterial small subunit ribosomal RNA
Source: RNAcentral